CCUACGGGAGGCAGCAGUGAGGAAUAUUGGUCAAUGGGCGCGAGCCUGAACCAGCCAAGCCGCGUGAGGGAAGACGGUCCUAUGGAUUGUAAACCUCUUUUGUCGGGGAGCAAAAGACGCUACGCGUGGCGUUCCGAGAGUACCCGACGAAAAAGCAUCGGCUAACUCCGUGCCAGCAGCCGCGGUAAUACGGAGGAUGCGAGCGUUAUCCGGAUUUAUUGGGUUUAAAGGGUGCGCGGGCGGAGGAUGAAGUCAGCGGUAAAAUUGAGAGGCUCAACUUCUUCGAGCCGUUGAGACUGGUAGGCUUGAGUGAGUGUGAGGUAGGCGGAAUGCGUGGUGUAGCGGUGAAAUGCAUAGAGAUCACACAGAACUCCGAUUGCGAAGGCAGCAUACCAGGGCUCAUCUGACGCUGAUGCACGAAAGUGUGGGGAGCGAACAGGAUUAGAUACCCGAGUAGUC
This 459-nucleotide ribosomal RNA is filed under the name uncultured bacterium. RNAcentral's name for it is "partial 16S ribosomal RNA". It matches the Rfam family "Bacterial small subunit ribosomal RNA", at positions 338 to 795 of the family's 1533-position model. The record is from RNAcentral.